CCUACGGGCGGCAGCAGUGGGGAAUAUUGCACAAUGGGGGAAACCCUGAUGCAGCGACGCCGCGUGAGUGAAGAAGUAUUUCGGUACGUAAAGCUCUAUCAGCAGGGAAGAAAAAAAGUCCUUUGGACUUUGGACGGUACCUGACCAAGAAGCCCCGGCUAACUACGUGCCAGCAGCCGCGGUAAUACGUAGGGGGCAAGCGUUAUACGGAUUGACUGGGGGUAAAGGGGGCGCCGACGGCUAUGCAAGCCAGGAGGGAAAGCCCGGGGCCCAACCCCGGGACUGCGCUUGGAACUGCGUGGCUGGAGUGCAGGAGGGGCAGGCGGAAGUCCUGGUGUAGCGGUGAAAGGCGUAGAUAUCAGGAGGAACACCGGUGGCGAAGGCGGACUGCUGGACUGCAACUGACGUUGAGGCCCGAAAGCGUGGGGAGCAAACAGGAUUAGAUACCCUUGUAGUC
This 457-nucleotide ribosomal RNA is filed under the name uncultured bacterium. RNAcentral describes it as "partial 16S ribosomal RNA". It matches the Rfam family "Bacterial small subunit ribosomal RNA", at positions 338 to 795 of the family's 1533-position model. The record is from RNAcentral.